GUCCUGCGGGUGCUAUCAUGCAGUCGAGCGAAUGGAUUAGAGCUUGCUCUUAUGAAGUUAGCGGCGGACGGGUGAGUAACACGUGGGUAACCUGCCCAUAAGACUGGGAUAACUCCGGGAAACCGGGGCUAAUACCGGAUAACAUUUUGAACCGCAUGGUUCGAAAUUGAAAGGCGGCUUCGGCUGUCACUUAUGGAUGGACCCGCGUCGCAUUAGCUAGUUGGUGAGGUAACGGRUCACCAARGGMAACGAUGCGUAACCVACCUGARAGGUGAUCGGCCCMCUGGGACUGAAACCGGC
RNAcentral lists this ribosomal RNA (300 nucleotides) under Bacillus cereus. Its description in RNAcentral is "bacterial SSU rRNA". It matches the Rfam family "Bacterial small subunit ribosomal RNA", at positions 54 to 330 of the family's 1533-position model. The record is from RNAcentral. Lineage: Bacteria; Bacillati; Bacillota; Bacilli; Caryophanales; Bacillaceae.